Molecule: ribosomal RNA, 254 nt
Filed under: uncultured bacterium
Lineage: Bacteria
Description: partial 16S ribosomal RNA
Rfam family: Bacterial small subunit ribosomal RNA
Source: RNAcentral
UACGGAGGGAGCUAGCGUUUGUUCGGAAUUACUGGGCGUAAAGCGCACGUAGGCGGCUUUGUAAGUUAGAGGUGAAAGUCCGGGGCUCAACUCCGGAUCUGCGGUGGGUACGGGCAGACUAGAGUGAUGUAGGGGAGACUGGAAUUCCUGGUGUAGCGGUGAAAUGCGCAGAUAUCAGGAGGAACACCGGUGGCGAAGGCGGCUCACUGGCCCGGUACUGACGCUGAGGCACGAAAGCGUGGGGAGCAAACAGG